CUUCAACGAGCCGAGCCACAGCGGCUGUUCGGGGUCGCGCCCCUGUCCGUAGGUGGCGAGCAGCGCUUGCGCCUC
RNAcentral lists this antisense RNA (75 nucleotides) under Streptomyces viridochromogenes. RNAcentral's name for it is "ASpks sRNA". It matches the Rfam family "ASpks TB sRNA". Lineage: Bacteria; Bacillati; Actinomycetota; Actinomycetes; Kitasatosporales; Streptomycetaceae. The record is from RNAcentral.